Molecule: ribosomal RNA, 222 nt
Filed under: uncultured bacterium
Lineage: Bacteria
Description: partial 16S ribosomal RNA
Rfam family: Bacterial small subunit ribosomal RNA
Source: RNAcentral
CGGCAGACGGGUGAGUAACGCGUGGGAACAUACCUCUUGGUUCGGAACAACACAGGGAAACUUGUGCUAAUACCGGAUAAGCCCUUACGGGGGAAAGAUUUAUCGCCGAGAGAUUGGCCCGCGUCUGAUUAGCUAGUUGGUGAGGUAACGGCUCACCAAGGCGACGAUCAGUAGCUGGUCUGAGAGGAUGAUCAGCCACAUUGGGACUGAGACACGGCCCAA